Molecule: non-coding RNA, 73 nt
Organism: Schistocerca americana (American grasshopper)
Lineage: Eukaryota; Metazoa; Arthropoda; Insecta; Orthoptera; Acrididae
Source: the annotation of a RefSeq genome assembly
GCUGUGGUGGUGUAAUGGGUAGCAUUCCUGUCUAGUAAACUAGGAGACCUGGGUUCAAGUCCCGGCCAUGGCA